This 565-nucleotide ribosomal RNA is filed under the name Trichoderma gamsii. RNAcentral's name for it is "eukaryotic LSU rRNA". The stretch from base 186 to 339 matches the Rfam family "5.8S ribosomal RNA". The record is from RNAcentral. Lineage: Eukaryota; Fungi; Ascomycota; Sordariomycetes; Hypocreales; Hypocreaceae.
GGGGUAACGAGCUUCACUCCAACCCAUGUGAACCAUACCAAACUGUUGCCUCGGCGGGGUCACGCCCCGGGUGCGUCGCAGCCCCGGAACCAGGCGCCCGCCGGAGGGACCAACCAAACUCUUUCUGUAGUCCCCUCGCGGACGUUAUUUCUUACAGCUCUGAGCAAAAAUUCAAAAUGAAUCAAAACUUUCAACAACGGAUCUCUUGGUUCUGGCAUCGAUGAAGAACGCAGCGAAAUGCGAUAAGUAAUGUGAAUUGCAGAAUUCAGUGAAUCAUCGAAUCUUUGAACGCACAUUGCGCCCGCCAGUAUUCUGGCGGGCAUGCCUGUCCGAGCGUCAUUUCAACCCUCGAACCCCUCCGGGGGGUCGGCGUUGGGGAUCGGGAACCCCUAAGACGGGAUCCCGGCCCCGAAAUACAGUGGCGGUCUCGCCGCAGCCUCUCCUGCGCAGUAGUUUGCACAACUCGCACCGGGAGCGCGGCGCGUCCACGUCCGUAAAACACCCAACUUCUGAAAUGUUGACCUCGGAUCAGGUAGGAAUACCCGCUGAACUUAAGCAUAUCAAA